RNAcentral lists this small nuclear RNA (359 nucleotides) under Erinaceus europaeus (western European hedgehog). RNAcentral describes it as "7SK RNA". It matches the Rfam family "7SK RNA". From Rfam's summary of the family: 7SK was discovered as an abundant small nuclear RNA in the mid-70s but a possible function has only recently been suggested. Two independent studies have found that 7SK RNA binds the CDK9/cyclin T complex (known as elongation factor P-TEFb). Lineage: Eukaryota; Metazoa; Chordata; Mammalia; Eulipotyphla; Erinaceidae. The record is from Rfam by way of RNAcentral.
GGAUUUAAGGGCGAUCUGGCCACGACAUCUGUCACCCCAUUGAUCACCAGGGUUGAUUCAGCUGAUCUGGCUGGCUAGGCGGGUGUCCCCUUCCUCCCUCACCACUCCACGUGCAUCCCUCCCAAAGCUACAUGCUGGGUGGAAGAGGAUGGCCUUCCCCGAAUAGAGACGGACCGGUCUUCAGUCAAGGGUAUACGAGUAGCUGCGCUCCCCUGCUAGAACCUCCAAGAUUUUGAUUCAGAGACUUAGAUGCAGGUGCUAUGAACUAUAUAUAAAUGGUGAUGAACCCCAGAAGAGAACCAUCAGAAAAUUAUGCAGGAAAGAAAGAGGGCUAAAGGCAAAAGUAUGGGGCCCACUGU